Molecule: long non-coding RNA, 543 nt
Filed under: Rosa chinensis
Lineage: Eukaryota; Viridiplantae; Streptophyta; Magnoliopsida; Rosales; Rosaceae
Description: sRNA RchiOBHm_Chr5g0017631
Source: RNAcentral
GUUGCCUUGUUUAAGUCUCUUUGGGUGUUGUUGAGGAAUCAGCUUAGUUUCUGUGUUUCUUUAUAGAAGCAUGAAGCUGUAUUAGUGUCCUCUUGAUGAGCUAAUGCAAAUGUCAUGUGAUGUUGGGAUCACAUGGGGUAAAUGGUCUCCAUUUUAAUGUGUUUUGUGGGAUAUUGACUUCAACCCUAAAUCUUCUUUGUAGUCUUCCCUGCCGUCACUGAUAUGGUUCACUGCACCACCAGUAGGGCAAAGACCUGGUGGGAAACCUAGACCAUAUGGUGCAAAGAUAUGGCGAGGCUAGUGAUCUGUGGUUUUAUUAAACCUGAGGUUUUGUAAAGAGGACUAAAGAUAGAUGAAAUGAAGGGUUGCUGUACGGCAAUGAAUAAACAUCUAGAAAUGAAGAAGGUCAAAUGCUGCAGAGGAAAUCGAGAAGACAGAAAAUAUUUCGUAGUCAGGUACUGAAUCUUGAAGAGCACUCCCUUUCUGUGUGGGAAAGGUAUCUCCGACUCCGAAAUCUUGCUCAUCAUUCCUCCAUAUGGGUUG